This 973-nucleotide non-coding RNA is filed under the name Syrmaticus humiae (Hume's pheasant). RNAcentral's name for it is "12S ribosomal RNA". It matches the Rfam family "Bacterial small subunit ribosomal RNA". Lineage: Eukaryota; Metazoa; Chordata; Aves; Galliformes; Phasianidae. The record is from RNAcentral.
AAAAGACUUAGUCCUAACCUUGCUAUUGAUUUUUGCUAGACAUAUACAUGCAAGUAUCUGCGCACCAGUGAAAAUGCCCUAACACCUCCUACCGAAGAAAAGGAGCAGGUAUCAGGCACACCUACAGUAGCCCAAGACACCUUGCUCAAGCCACACCCCCACGGGUAUUCAGCAGUAAUUAACCUUAAGCAAUAAGUGCAAGCUUGACUUAGCCAUAGCAAUUCUAGGGUUGGUAAAUCUUGUGCCAGCCACCGCGGUCAUACAAGAAACCCGAAUCAAUAGCCACCCGGCGUAAAGAGUGGCCAUAUGUUAUCAACAUAACUAAGAUCGAAAUGCAACUAAGCUGUCAUAAGCCCAAGAUCCAUUUAAGCCCUCCAAACCAUCUUAGCCCAACGAUUAAUUUUAAUCCACGAAAGCCAGGGCACAAACUGGGAUUAGAUACCCCACUAUGCCUGGCCCUAAAUCUUGAUGCCAUCAUACCCAUGCAUCCGCCUGAGAACUACGAGCACAAACGCUUAAAACUCUAAGGACUUGGCGGUGCCCCAAACCCACCUAGAGGAGCCUGUUCUGUAACCGAUAAUCCACGAUUCACCCAACCACCCCUUGCCAACACAGCCUACAUACCGCCGUCGCCAGCCCACCUAAAUGAAAGAUCAACAGUGGGCCCAACAGUCCCCCCCCCCCCACUAGCAAGACAGGUCAAGGUAUAGCCCAUGGGGUGGAAGAAAUGGGCUACAUUUUCUAACAUAGAAUAUAAACGAAAAAGGGUGUGAAACCCACCCUUGGAAGGAGGAUUUAGCAGUAAAGUGGGACCAUGUUCUUCCAAGCCUACUUUAAGAUGGCCCUGGGGCACGUACAUACCGCCCGUCACCCUCUUCAUAGGCUACUAACAUUAAUAAAUAAUACCCAUACUAAGCCAAAGACGAGGUAAGUCGUAACAAGGUAAGCGUACCGGAAGGUGCGCUUAGACCAC